UUGCGCUUCGUCCCUGCUGAAAGAGGUUUACAACCCGAAGGCCGUCAUCCCUCACGCGGCGUCGCUGCAUCAGGCUUUCGCCCAUUGUGCAAUAUUCCCCACUGCUGCCUCCCGUAGGAGUCUGGGCCGUGUCUCAGUCCCAGUGUGGCCGGUCACCCUCUCAGGUCGGCUACCCGUCGUCGCCUUGGUAGGCCAUUACCCCACCAACAAGCUGAUAGGCCGCGGGCCCAUCCUGCACCGAUAAAUCUUUCCACCACCCACCAUGCGAUAGGAGGUCAUAUCCGGUAUUAGACCCAGUUUCCCAGGCUUAUCCCGAAGUGCAGGGCAGAUCACCCACGUGUUACUCACCCGUUCGCCGCUCGUGUACCCCGAAAGGCCUUACCGCUCGACUUGCAUGUGUUAAGCACGCCGCCAGCGUUCGUCCUGAGCCAUGGAUCAAACU
RNAcentral lists this ribosomal RNA (442 nucleotides) under Rhodococcus erythropolis. Its description in RNAcentral is "partial 16S ribosomal RNA". The record is from RNAcentral. Lineage: Bacteria; Bacillati; Actinomycetota; Actinomycetes; Mycobacteriales; Nocardiaceae.